GAAACCGGUAGAACAAUUGGAUCGCGAAUUAAGGAACACUUAAAAAUGGACAAACAAACUGUGUACAAACAUAUAGAAUCUCAUAAGAGUAGACGACCAGAUCAAUCCGACAUAAGUUGGAAAAUAUUACAUAGAAAUAUAGCCUACCAAGAAGAACGCAAAUGUAUGGAAGCCUUUGAAAUACAUAACCGUAGCAAAAAUAUUAUGAACGGUUGCAUAGGUAGAACAAUUAGUAUUUAAUUAACCAAACACUGCUUGUAGUGCUUGACCGGACUCGUAGCUAAUUGACAUUUCAAUAGUUUUAUAAUUUUUUUAUUUUAUUCAUGAAUUUUUAAUAGACUAGCUUGUAUAUAAUAGACGUAUAUAUUGUAAUAAGUAAUAUUCCAC
Non-coding RNA from Paramuricea clavata, 387 nucleotides. The record is from the annotation of a GenBank genome assembly. NCBI's taxonomy places the organism in Eukaryota, Metazoa, Cnidaria, Anthozoa, Malacalcyonacea, Plexauridae.